UUAUUGGAGAGUUUGAUCCUGGCUCAGGAUGAACGCUGGUGGCGUGCCUAAUACAUGCAAGUCGAGCGAAUGGAUUAAGAGCUUGCUCUUAUGAA
This 95-nucleotide ribosomal RNA is filed under the name Bacillus albus. RNAcentral describes it as "partial 16S ribosomal RNA". It matches the Rfam family "Bacterial small subunit ribosomal RNA", at positions 1 to 92 of the family's 1533-position model. The record is from RNAcentral. Lineage: Bacteria; Bacillati; Bacillota; Bacilli; Caryophanales; Bacillaceae.